This 459-nucleotide ribosomal RNA is filed under the name uncultured bacterium. Its description in RNAcentral is "partial 16S ribosomal RNA". It matches the Rfam family "Bacterial small subunit ribosomal RNA", at positions 338 to 795 of the family's 1533-position model. The record is from RNAcentral.
CCUACGGGUGGCAGCAGUGAGGAAUAUUGGUCAAUGGGCGCGAGCCUGAACCAGCCAAGUCGCGUGAGGGAAGACGGUCCUAUGGAUUGUAAACCUCUUUUGUCGGGGAGCAAAAGACGCCACGCGUGGCGUUCCGAGAGUACCCGAAGAAAAAGCAUCGGCUAACUCCGUGCCAGCAGCCGCGGUAAUACGGAGGAUGCGAGCGUUAUCCGGAUUUAUUGGGUUUAAAGGGUGCGCAGGCGGAAAAUAAAGUCAGCGGUAAAAUUGAGAGGCUCAACCUCUUCGAGCCGUUGAAACUGGUUGUCUUGAGUGAGCGAGAGGUAGGCGGAAUGCGUGGUGUAGCGGUGAAAUGCAUAGAUAUCACGCAGAACUCCGAUUGCGAAGGCAGCAUACCGGCGCUCAACUGACGCUGAUGCACGAAAGUGUGGGUAUCGAACAGGAUUAGAUACCCUAGUAGUC